This 429-nucleotide unclassified non-coding RNA is filed under the name plant metagenome. RNAcentral's name for it is "partial contains small subunit ribosomal RNA and internal transcribed spacer 1". The stretch from base 1 to 54 matches the Rfam family "Eukaryotic small subunit ribosomal RNA", at positions 1778 to 1831 of the family's 1831-position model. The record is from RNAcentral.
GGAAGUAAAAGCCGUAACAAGGUUUCCGUAGGUGAACCUGCGGAAGGAUCAUUGACGCUUUUAAACUCGGAAACCCUCCCUUCCCCCUUCCUUUUUGGGGGGGGGGAAAGGAGGGAGACCACGCCGGGGUGCUGGGAGGGAAACCUUCUUUGCACUCUGCGCGACCCCAAUGCGAAACGUGGGAGCCCCCCUUCCUUCCUUCAACAAAGGAAGGAAGGGGGUUCACCCUUUGCAACUCCUGAUAGUACUUUCCUUCCCUCAAUGGGGGGGGGACUAAAUACUGAGGAAGUUUUCUUAUGGAAUUUUUUUUUCCCCCCCCUCCAAAGGGGGGAGAAAAAAAAAAAAACCCAAAAGAGUUCCUUCCACAAUGCGAAAAAUAAAACGAGAUAAACCCCAAAACAACUCCCGUCGACGGAUAUCUCGGCUCUC